AUCUUACCGAAUCGUGCAAGGAGCGUAAGACGGUCGGAGGAAAAACCUCGGUGGGGGUGUCUAGUAGUAUUUCGGAGUGCUGUCGCUGGCCUUUCGGCAAUGUGCACGUCUCCGGAGUCCGAUGGGUGUGUAUACCCCCAACCCCCCCUCGGCCUCGGUCUCCUUCCCAACCUCUGAAGCUCCUGUACCUCUCUAACGCCAUUGUGCACCUUGUUGUAGGUCUCGGCCAGGGACCUAUGUAUUCCUUUUUUUUUAAAGCUCUCUGCCUGUAGACAGAACGUUGUCUUUUGACAAACAUGUCAUAUAAACAUAUAUAUAACUUUCAGCAAUGGAUCUCUUGGCUCUCGCAUCGAUGAAGAACGCACCGAAUCGCGAUAAGUAAUGUGAAUUGCAGAUUUUGCGUGAAUCAUCGAAUCUUUGAACGCACCUUGCGCUCCUUGGUAUUCCGAGGAGCAUGCCUGUUUGAGUGUCAUCGAAAUCUCAAAUCCUAAGCUUUGCUUCGGUCGCCGACUCGGAGCGAGCUCGGACUUGGACUUUGGGAGUUUGCGGGCGACCCGACUUUGCUCGGGACGCCGGCUCUCCUCGAAUGCAUUAACGGUGGGCUUCGAGCCUUUGCACAGCACGGCCUGUUCGACG
This 636-nucleotide ribosomal RNA is filed under the name Astraeus odoratus. RNAcentral's name for it is "eukaryotic LSU rRNA". The stretch from base 318 to 472 matches the Rfam family "5.8S ribosomal RNA". The record is from RNAcentral. Lineage: Eukaryota; Fungi; Basidiomycota; Agaricomycetes; Boletales; Astraeaceae.